UACGAGGGGGGCAAAUGUUGUUCGGAAUCACUGGGCGUAAAGGGCGCGUAGGCGGGUUUCUAAGUCAGGUGUUUAAUCCCGGGGCCCAACCCCGGACAGGCACUUGAAACUGGGAAUCUUGAAUAGGGGAGAGGUCAGUGGAAUUGGAGGUGUAGCGGUGGAAUGCGUAGAGAUCUCCAAGAACACCAGUUGCGAAGGCGGGCUUCUGGUUGACUUCUGACGCUGAGGUGCGAAAGCUAGGGGAGCGAACGGG
RNAcentral lists this ribosomal RNA (253 nucleotides) under uncultured bacterium. RNAcentral's name for it is "partial 16S ribosomal RNA". It matches the Rfam family "Bacterial small subunit ribosomal RNA", at positions 524 to 776 of the family's 1533-position model. The record is from RNAcentral.